This 963-nucleotide long non-coding RNA is filed under the name Gallus gallus (chicken). The record is from RNAcentral. Lineage: Eukaryota; Metazoa; Chordata; Aves; Galliformes; Phasianidae.
AAAAAAAAAAAGAAAGAUCAACUGCAAUGACUCGAAGCCGAGAAUGUGGAGAUACCGCCUCAUUCACACACACUCACUCUUAGACUGAAAAUCCUUCACCCCUCCCUCCUCACAUCCCGUGCACCGACAGCAUCGCGUGGCCGAGGUUACCGCGGGCGGAUGGAUGGAUGGAGGUCGGCUCCCAUCUCUCUCUCUCUCUCUCUCUCUCUUUCCCCUUCUGCUGAGCAGCCCGGGGACGCCGACCCCACGCUGUCGGAAGGGGCUGCCCAUUGCCAAGCAGAGCCCGGUGCUCCCACUCCAGAAGACGACCAAGGAGGCCAAGGCUUUCGACGCAAAUCAGUGCUCAGCUCGCUAAACAGCGCUGCUGCUGCUGUUGCCGUGGCGGGGUUUUCUAUGUGGUGUGUUUCAAGCCUCACUCACUCAUCAUCCUCUCACUCCCAAGCAUUCAGCAUCCGUGCACACUCCUCACUUCCGGGUUGUUGGUUGGUUGGUUUUUUUUUUUGUUGUUGGUUGGUUGUUUUGUUGGUUUUUGUUUUGUUUUGUUGGUUUUUUUUUUUUCCUUUUGAAAAAAAAUUGGAGAUUUUUCCAGUGGGGGUCUCAGGUGUCAUCCCGAUGGUAACAGAUCAAGCUUGAUUCUUCAGUUUUCUCAGCUCUUUAGUCGCCCAGGUAGCAAGGGUUUUUGUUUUGUUCGUCUUGGAUCUUCUUCCUUCAGUUAGCAGUUCAUGUAUCAUGGGUCUAGCUUCUACUAAUUUCAGUACAUCUUUUCCAAACGCUGUACACAAAUCCCCUAUCAGUCCAGCAGAACACGCCACUACUACGUCUGUAUGAUCCUCAUCUCCAGCAAUGUGGUCAAUGUAAGACAGAAUAAAUUCUACUCUGGGCUGCACCAGCAUCACAUCCGGGUGCACAUUUUCUUGGUCUCCCUUCAAUCCCUGAAUGAUGCCCGUGUAAGCUUCCAGGCAG